ACUCCCGCGCGAGGCGGGCUGAGGGGGCGUUAGUGGACGGAGGACAGAAGGGUUAACUGUCUGGAAGCUUACUGAGCAAAGGUUGGGAGAUCAGUAAGUCAUGAAGGAAGGCUUUUAAAUCCAACGAUGUCAAAAUGUCAGUGACAUGAGUGAAGCCGUUUUUAGUGUACAGAGAAGACCACCCACCUGCUGACUAAGAACCUCCAGGGGGAACCUUCAAAGGCUGGUGGGCCAAAGGCACUCAGUGUUCAGUGAGAACCAUGACCUUCCAGUUCAUCCUGCAUCCCCCUCUGUCAACCGGGUCUGCCAUCUCCAUAGAAGUAACCAAUCCGCUGAACUGUGGGCUCUGUUCUUGGAGCUCUUGCCGUCUGUGCCUCCCACCACCCCUGCCUUCUUCAGAGUUUUCUUUCCCUUAGAAGCACACUGGCCCCCAAGGAGAGGAGGUGGAAGUCACCGAGUCCCACAGCUGUUCCCGUGCACGUGCACUUAUGUAUACUGUGUGUAACAUGGACAGAGUUCUCCACUGUGAACAAUGAAACACCUGAGGCCAAAGAGAGGCACCUGAGUGGAAGAAGCCCAGCAAAUCGGACCUCGGAGAGGCUGUUUUGGACACCCCACCUUGCCUAGGAGUUUGAGCCUGUGUCCCUCCCAGCUCUGCCGCAUCUCAGCUGCGUGGCUUGGGAUCUUACUUUCUUCAUCUGUACAGCAUUGUUGAGCCACAUGAUCUCCGAGUCCCUUCCAAGUUCCCAAAUCUGUAAUUUCAGUGCAAGCCUGUUUUACAUAUGUUCAUUUUCCGAAGAGUGAGAGUCCUCUGAACUUGAGCAAUGAAAGGCUUUAAAGUCCUGGGAUUAGUGGAAGGGGGAAGGUUUUUCUGCAAGGACAGCUCCUUUCUUUGCAUACCAAUCUGGAAUUCAUUGCUGACUAAGAGCCAGCAUCUGCCUGAUAAGUGGAAUUAUGAUUUCCUUCCUCUUUCUUCCUAAACCACAGUGGGAAAUAAAGUCACCCCAUGGGGAGGAAAGGAGAAAAAUCACUCAAACCACGAGACAAUUUCAGCUAAUAGUAAGAAGUUGUUGCCAAAACAUAAAGGAAGAUGAAAUAAGAUGAAUCUUCGUUUGGUCUUUAUAAUUUUGAUAGCAAUUCUGUGGGAGAAAAAUGUAUGUACAACAUAAAUAGGAGCCAUUCUAUAGUUGAGUCAAAUUCUUUUUUCCCAUGAAGGUUACGAGUGAUUUCACACAUUUAGAUUGUGGUUGGCCACUGUAGUGGAGGGGAGAAAGUGGGCCAGCAAGCUCAGAGAGCAGGUUAUAUUCAGUGAGAGUGAGACAGCACCUUGGAGUAUAAAUUCUUCCUACAGCCGAGAAAACUGAGACCUAGGGAGUUGUCCAAGAUUAUACAAUGUGUGACGCAGCCUACGCAGAGUUCAGGGUUCUGCCC
Non-coding RNA from Heterocephalus glaber (naked mole-rat), 1431 nucleotides. The record is from RefSeq and is a predicted model, not a curated record. NCBI's taxonomy places the organism in Eukaryota, Metazoa, Chordata, Mammalia, Rodentia, Bathyergidae.